RNAcentral lists this unclassified non-coding RNA (200 nucleotides) under soil metagenome. Its description in RNAcentral is "partial contains internal transcribed spacer 2 and large subunit ribosomal RNA". The record is from RNAcentral.
UCAUUAUCACGAAUCAAGCCCGGCUUGCUGUUGGACCUUUGUCGCUAGAAGACAGGUUCUAAAGAUAAUGAGGCGUCAGUCGGACCCUAGAUGCAACGAGCUUUAACUAGCAUGCGUCUCAGUUGGUCCUUUUGACCGGUCUUUUUUAACCAACUUAUCAGGUUGACCUCGGAUCAGGUAGGAAUACCCGCUGAACUUAA